UCCAUCUCCACCUCCUUCUUCUUCUCCUUCUCCUUGUCCUUCUUUCUUCUUGGAUAUAUUGUGAGCUGAGGAGCUGAUUGGUCUGUCAGUCAGAUCCAUGAACACACACUGACAGUAUCUACCUGUCUGUAUCUCACCUGUCUGUCUGUAGGUCCCUGACUACUAUGACAUCAUCAAGAAGCCGAUCGCUCUCAGCACCAUCAGAGAGAAAGUCAACAACUGUGAAUAUCAGACAGCAGCUGAGUUCAUCGCUGACGUGGACCUGAUGUUCUCCAACUGUCUUCAGUAUAAUCCUCGUCACACUAACGAGGCGAAGGCGGGACAUCGCCUGCAGCAGUUCUUCCAAUCAGAGCUCAGCAAGCUCGGUCUAUCAGAGCGCAGCCCGGCCCCGCCCGCCAAACGCUCCCGACACUGAACCAAACGCACCCCUCUGACCUCAACGCCGUCCACUCUGCUGAUUGGUCCAGGGACGAGGCAUGUUCCCUCCCGAUGCUCCUUCAUGACCUUUGACCCCCGCCACCUGUCGGUCAGAACCAGCUGACAAUCAAAAUGUUUCAUCAGCGACGUGACUGCAGAGUUCAAAGGUCAUGAAGUCCAAAAUUAAAACACCUUCUUAGACUCUGAGCUCACCUGGUCUGUCAGACCAAAUAAAGUUACAGUCUGGAAUCUGAGCUCACCUGAGAUGGACCCUUAUUUCCUCUCACCUGAUGACAUCAUCACAUGAUCACAUGACCUGGCGCUUCAUCCUUUAAAAACCAAACCCUGUGUUAAAGUUUCACUGUGAGUUCAUGAAACUGUAGAAAAGUUGUGGAGUGUGUUUCCUGCGACCUGCUGACGUUCAGGGCAUUAACUUCCUGUUUGUGUUUGUGGACAGACGGACAUGUAGCAGACAUUCCUGUGGUGCUGUAGGACAGUAGAGACAGUAGAGACAGAGACAGUAGAGUCUACUCAGUUAGAAAAGUAAAAACCACUAAACAGAGUUCAGCUUUGCACUGACAAUUUAAAAAAAAAACUCCCAUCAGGCCGUUUGUUUUUCGCUCAGGGACAAAAAAAAAUUGAUUUGAAUAAAAAGAUAUUUUCUAACAGUGCAGCUGGUUUUUACUGACACAGAGCAUCACCAUGGCAACACGGUUUCAGGCUAAAUAUCAAACCUAAAAUUAAAAUAUGUGCACGUGAUGCGUUCACCAAAACAAAAUCAUCUCCAGCUGUUAAUGAGCCUUAAAGGGACGGUUCACAACCUCCUCUCGUCUGUCACUCAUGUCUCAGGAUGACCUUAGCUUAGCUUAGCUUAGCAUUGAGACUGGAGCACAAGGUGUGAGACAAUGUAGAAAGUAAAACAUGUGGAACUGUCCCUUUAAAAGCCUGAGCCUGGGGCCUCUGUGGAUUUGUAGUUUUUGUAUUUUUGACUACUGUUUUCCCGCUUUAGGCUGUUUUUGUUUGACUCCUUCUUCUGUGGUGUUAGUGUGACUGCUGCAGCUCAGUCAGAGUGCGUGUGUGAGCGUGUGGUUGUAUGGGUGUGUGCGUGUGUGUGUGCAGCUGUACACUACACUGGAGUCGCUGCAUAUUUAUUUAGUUGUGCGUUUUCUUUAUUUAUGACUGAUAGGCGCUUCCUGAUGCUGUUUGUUGUUCUCAUGUAAAAAAUAAAUGGACUUUUAUAACCAGC
This is a non-coding RNA of Epinephelus lanceolatus (giant grouper), 1663 nucleotides long. The record is from RefSeq and is a predicted model, not a curated record. NCBI's taxonomy places the organism in Eukaryota, Metazoa, Chordata, Actinopteri, Perciformes, Serranidae.